AUUACCCAAUACGGACACGGGGAGGUAGUGACAAGAAAUAACAAUACAGGGCUUUCGUCUUGUAAUUGGAAUGAUGGUGAUGUACAACCUCACCAGAGUACCAAUUGGAGGGCAAGUCUGGUGCCAGCAGCCGCGGUAAUUCCAGCUCCAAUAGCGUAUAUUAAAAUUGUUGCAGUUAAAAAGCUCGUAGUUGUAUUUCAGCCUCGCGUUUUUUCCCUCUUUUCGGGUCUUUUCGCUGGCUUUGUUUUUACUUUGAGAAAAUUAGAGUGUUUCAAGCAGACUUUUGUCUUGAAUACUUCAGCAUGGAAUAAUAGAGUAGGACCUUGGUUCUAUUUUGUUGGUUUCGAGCCUUGGUAAUGGUUAAUAGGAACGGUUGGGGGCAUUCGUAUUUAA
RNAcentral lists this ribosomal RNA (393 nucleotides) under Babesia bigemina. RNAcentral's name for it is "SSU rRNA". It matches the Rfam family "Eukaryotic small subunit ribosomal RNA", at positions 440 to 901 of the family's 1831-position model. The record is from RNAcentral. Lineage: Eukaryota; Apicomplexa; Aconoidasida; Piroplasmida; Babesiidae.